This 24-nucleotide non-coding RNA is filed under the name Arabidopsis thaliana (thale cress). Lineage: Eukaryota; Viridiplantae; Streptophyta; Magnoliopsida; Brassicales; Brassicaceae. The record is from RNAcentral.
AGGCACCGCUUUGAUUGGCGUUUA